Molecule: small nucleolar RNA, 107 nt
Filed under: Gossypium hirsutum (cotton)
Lineage: Eukaryota; Viridiplantae; Streptophyta; Magnoliopsida; Malvales; Malvaceae
Description: Plant small nucleolar RNA R71
Rfam family: Plant small nucleolar RNA R71
About the family: R71 is a member of the C/D box family of snoRNAs containing the C (UGAUGA) and D (CUGA) box motifs. Multiple nearly identical copies of this snoRNA have been identified in Arabidopsis, and it is thought to function as a 2'-O-ribose methylation guide for 18S ribosomal RNA.
Source: Rfam by way of RNAcentral
AAGCCAUGCAUUGGGCAUUUUCUAAUUAAUUCCUUAAAUCACUCUCAUGAUUUAUAUAAUGUUUCAUCCCCAGAUUUCCGAAAGGACGUAAUAUCAUUCCUCAAUUU